This 1637-nucleotide unclassified non-coding RNA is filed under the name Hevea brasiliensis (rubber tree). Lineage: Eukaryota; Viridiplantae; Streptophyta; Magnoliopsida; Malpighiales; Euphorbiaceae. The record is from RNAcentral.
UUUGUUUCUUGGAAUCUCAAUUGUUGAUCAAAGCUCCUUAUAGUUGUUGACCCUGAAAUUGUUUCAGCAAAAUGUUGGAUAACUGGAGCUUUGCACACUCCAACCAACCGUGAAAGUUCUCUUGCAGAAGGGAUGUAAUAUUGCUGGUACCAGAUGCAGGCAGCAAUCACAGGGAUAAAAACGAUAAAAACUUGCCAUGCCACCUGAGACAUCACUGCAAUGAUUCCCAAAAGCUGGAUCAUUGAGAAGGCAACUGCCCCAACUUGAUAUGGAAUUUGCAUGUCAACUGCACUUUGGUCUGUAGAAGCUCUAUUCAGGAUUCGUCCACUGGGAGUCGAAUCAAAAAAGGACAUGGGGGCACGGAAAAUGCACAAAUGCAUUUUAUUGAAGAGUAGAGUUGCUGUCUUGUACCCUGCUGUCACAAGAAGUGUGGAUCUGGCCAGGAUGCAAAAAGAACUUCCAACAGCCAAAGCUACAUAGACAACCAUUAGUGUAUAUCUGCUAACAACAGGUUUCACAUCCUUUGACACUGGAGUUGCCCAAGCCAUCCAAUAAUUGCUACUAAUUUGAAGGAUCUGAAAAAGAAUCUGUGCCAGCAAAAUAAAAGGCACUAGAGCUCCUCCAUAUGCCGUUGUAAGAUAUUUCCAGUAGACUGGAAACCCAACUCUACCUUUUUCUCUCUCUUCUUCUUGAACAAUCUGUCCUUUUGGCUCAGCCAUCUCAUCAGCUUUUCCAAUUUGCAGAUCCUUGUUUUCUUCUUUUUGGGGAACCCCAUUGGUAGUUCUCAUGCCAUUAUUGUCCUUGCUGACGCUAUCAUUUCCAGAAGCUGGCCCUGCCUGUUUCGAAUCAAGUGCUGACAAAGCUGUCUUAUGUGCACCAACAAGUUCCAUAAAAUCAGACCCUGAAUUGAGAAUGUCAUUAUAAUUUCCACCCUGAGUAAUCCUUCCAUCUUUCAUGACCAAUAUUAGAUCGGCAGCAGGUAAGAACUCAACUUGAUGAGUAACAUAAAUAACAGUUUUCGAACUCAACAGGCCAAGCAAAACUUCCUUAAAUAAAUGAGAUCCAGUAUGUGCAUCGACAGCGCUAAAAGGAUCAUCAAAUAGAUAGAUAUCAGCAUCUUGGUAGAGAGCUCGUGCAAUCUGUAUUCUUUGUUUCUGUCCGCCGCUCAGAUUGAUACCCCUCUCACCUAUAACUGUUUGGUCACCGAACGAGAGGAUUUCCAGGUCCUUCUUCAAGGAACAAGCCUCCAGUAUCCUCUCAUACCUUUCUCUGUCCAUCUCCUCACCAAACAAUAUGUUCUCCUCAAUCUUCCCACUCUGUAUCCAAGGUGACUGCGGAACAUAAGCCUUUUUCCCACACAACCUAAGUGUCCCUGAGAUCUUGGGUACCUCUCCCAAAAUGCAAGAAAGUAAACUCGACUUGCCUGAACCAACAGUACCACAUACAGCAACCCUCAUUCCAUGGAAUACUUUAAAAUUUAUAUCUUUUAGUGUUGGAUUAGGAGAAGACAAAUCCCAAGAGAAAUUCCCAUCAACUAUCUCGAUUGCUGUUUCAGAACUACCUCUUAGAAACUUCUCGACAACAUCAGACUGCAAGUCAUCAAGACGGAGGAAAGAUGCAAUUCUAUCAAGGGAAAC